UACAGAGGUCUCAACCGUUGUUCGGAUUCAUUGGGCGUAAAGGGUGCGUAGGCGGUCGGGUAAGUCGGAUGUGAAAUCUCAGGGCUCAACCCUGAAACUGCAUUCGAUACUGCUUGGCUAGGGUACUGGAGAGGAGACUGGAAUUUACGGUGUAGCAGUGAAAUGCGUAGAUAUCGUAAGGAAGACCAGUGGCGAAGGCGGGUCUCUGGACAGUUCCUGACGCUGAGGCACGAAGGCCAGGGGAGCAAACGGG
This 253-nucleotide ribosomal RNA is filed under the name uncultured bacterium. Its description in RNAcentral is "partial 16S ribosomal RNA". It matches the Rfam family "Bacterial small subunit ribosomal RNA", at positions 524 to 776 of the family's 1533-position model. The record is from RNAcentral.